RNAcentral lists this ribosomal RNA (216 nucleotides) under uncultured bacterium. RNAcentral describes it as "partial 16S ribosomal RNA". It matches the Rfam family "Bacterial small subunit ribosomal RNA", at positions 587 to 793 of the family's 1533-position model. The record is from RNAcentral.
UUCAGAUGUGAAAGACCCGGGGCGUCAACCUCCGGAAUAGCAUUUGAAACUAGGCAGACUAGAGUACUGUAGAGGGGGUAGGGAAGUUUCUAGGUGUAGCGGUGAAAUAGCGUAGAGAUCUGAAGGAAUACCGGUGGCGAAGGCGGCCCCCUCGGACAGAUACUGACACUCAGAUGCGAAAGCGUGGGGAGCAAACAGGAUUAGAUACCCUGGUAG